Molecule: ribosomal RNA, 443 nt
Filed under: uncultured bacterium
Lineage: Bacteria
Description: bacterial SSU rRNA
Rfam family: Bacterial small subunit ribosomal RNA
Source: RNAcentral
AACGAACGCUGGCGGCAGGCCUAACACAUGCAAGUCGAGGGGGAAGCCAUUUUCGGAUGGUGGAAACUGGCGCACGGGUGAGUAACGCGUGGGUAUCUACCUCGGGGUGGGGAAUAACCGCUGGAAACGGCGGCUAAUACCGCAUACGCCUUAAGAGGGAAAGCUCCGGCGCCCUGAGAGGAGCCCGCGUUGGAUUAGCUUGUUGGUGGGGUAACGGCCUACCAAGGCUACGAUCUAUAGCUGGUCUGAGAGGAUGAUCAGCCACACUGGGACUGAGACACGGCCCAGACUCCUACGGGAGGCAGCAGUGGGGAAUAUUGGACAAUGGGCGCAAGCCUGAUCCAGCCAUGCCGCGUGAGUGAAGAAGGCCUUAGGGUUGUAAAGCUCUUUCACCUGCGAAGAUGAUGACGGUAGCAGGAGAAGAAGCCCCGGCUAACUCCGUG